Long non-coding RNA from Strigops habroptila (Kakapo), 3107 nucleotides. Lineage: Eukaryota; Metazoa; Chordata; Aves; Psittaciformes; Psittacidae. The record is from Ensembl.
CUCCACCCCUCCUUCCUCCACUUUCCCUCUCCUGGGCGAGUGGGGCUGCGCUGGAGAAGGUUAAACCUGGACCCCUGUGGAGGGACCGCGACCAAAGUUUCACAAAAUGGUAGUGCCUCUCCAAAACAAGACUCGGAAGAAACUGUACUGCAGAAGUUAGCUGGAGGAAAAACAGCUUAUAAAUCUCGAUCUUUUGCUGGGGAAAAAAAAAAAAAAAGAAAGAAAAAUAGUAAGUUUCCAAACAAAUGCGCGCUUUCCUUCUUUUCUUCUCUAGGAAAAGGUAGCCAUUGCUCUUCUUUAGACUAGACAUUUCUAAUUUGUUCCGUCUGUCAGAAUGGGACUAUGAGAGGUUUUGGUGCAAAUUCAUUAUCUCUGGCAACGCACAACGUAUAGCAGGAGCUGAAAAAGACCGUGGCAAUGGAUGAACAAUAGGGCUUCAGUCCAUCAGCAACAAAAGCGUUGGGGAAAUUGGUUGAAUUUCUGAGCACGUCCUCCUCAGCAGGGAGGGCUGGACUAGACCUUGGCCAACCCCCCCAAAAAACUUGCAGAUCCUCGCAUAGAACACUUCACUUUCUACUCCGGGGCGCAGGAAGCCAUAUGGAAAGAAAAGGAGGAAAAGAGGGGAAAAAAGAAAGGAAGAAAAAAAGCCAAACCGAAGUCAGCUUCUGCGUUUCUCUCCCUGUUUUGUUUUGUUUGUUUCUGGAUGGAAGAUUUCCGACUCAGCGCCGUUCGGACAAGAAUGACACCGUGGAGCUAAGCGGCACUUUUAAAUAGGGAUGGCGAGGGGAAAGACGCGAGUUUCAUGGAGACAUGGAAGAGCUUUCUCUGCUCCGAGGGGGCCUUGGCCUGGGGAUCUUUGUUUGCCAUCGAAGGCUCAGCUCGCCCUCAGCUCAAUUGAUGUGAGGUCAAUUUUUCCUCUGAUAAAGACGAAUAAAUGUUUAGACAACGCAGACAGACCACAGGGACUGACAACCACGACAAUAAACGGUAACUUCUUUUUGUUGUUUAAUAGAAGUCUGACGCUACUGUAUGCUUUACCUACAGGUAAAUGUUCUUUGGCAGCAUGCAGUGUUUCCAUGUGUAUUGACUGACUGUUGGUGGUUUUAAUACUUCUCCCUCCGCUCCCCUCUUCCCGCCCCGCCCCCCCCCCUCCCCACCCCCCCGGCUUUGCAUUCUUCAGUCUGUCUGUUCUCUUGUAAUAGUUUGGACUUGUAGUAGAUGUCCCUUUGCAUACCGUACGUUCGACAUAACAGGAGUAUAAUCUGCAGUAAAAUGAAAUUGUGGUCACAAAAGAAGUGGCGAGGCACCUUUAUUAGAAGGCGGCCCAGGCCAGUGACUUACCUGGCUGGGAGGAGGAAAGGGAUGCUCUGCAGGGAAAGCUGGCCUGGGCUGUACUGGAGUGCCGUGGUUUGCAUCUACAUGAGUUCUGCCAUAAAUUGGUGCAAAAAGGGGGUUUAUGUAAUGCUAUGCCCUGCCUAUGUAACUCCCAGCAGCUGAAGGGGGACUCCUGUGUGUCUUCCCCAUGGAAGGUGAUGAUGUUGGCAUUAGGAGGGGGCUCUGAUUGCAAUAAUCCGAGAAUCAUAGGCAUUCCUCUUUGAAGUCAAUAGGGACUGUUUACUCCUAAGAAAUUCACGCAGGAUGUUCUUUACAUCACAGCCAUCUGGAGACCUAUAAAAAGAUUAGAAAACAAGCAAGGCAAUCACAUAUUAAUCUACAGGCCAUUAGUGGGAAUUUAUUAGGGAGGCAGGGGGAAAAAGUCUGUGUUUGGAUUGUGUAUCUUGAGUAUGCAGAUCACUUCUACAUGAACUAUUUGGAACGAACAAGUUGUAUAUGUUUAUGUAAACUGGGAGAAAACAGACAGUGUAAAUGGCCACUUUUGACAAUUCAGGUGAUAUUUUUUGGCAGUAAUUUCAGAACUGCAGAUUGCUCAAACUUCCCACAUACUAGACAACACUGCGACCUUGGAAACACAUUUUGCAACGGCGAGAGCGAACCGGCAGCACAGCGCAGCGCUGCUCCCGGCCGGCAAGGCCCGCGGUCGGAGCUCUCCGCUGCGGCGGAGCGGCGCUUUCCCCGCUCUCGGGGAAAGGGGCUUUUAUCCCGCCGUAGCGAGGGUGGGUUGUUGUUUUCCUUUCCGUCCCCGCGGAGGUCAGAGCGGUCCCUGCGCUGGCGAGGAGGGAGGUAAAAUCCGGGAGCGGCGGAUGCUCGGAGGCGAGACGGGGCUCGUGCGUAUCAAUUAAGCCGCGUGCACUUGAGAUUUCUCAUGACAUCAUCAUUACCUCGGUCUCCUGCGGUCCGGGACCUCUGACCUCGCCGGGCUGGUCCACAUUUUGGCGGUGAAAAGCACACAUCACCAACCCCCACCCCACCCCCCCCUCCAAUGGUGGCCCUUUUCUCCUUCUUUCAGGCCGGGGGCAGCAGCAGGCAGGCGGGACAGCGUCUCUUCCCCCCCCCCCGCCACCAUCCUUCCCCCCCCAUUGCGAUAGGAAACCCGGGAAUCGAGGAACUUCCCCCAAAACACGCACGCACGCGAGGCAUUGGCAAUCAAGCCGCCACCAUUUGCUAAAAAGCUCCGUGCCGUGCAUAACCUGAAGGGAUAGGAGCCGCAUCCUCGAAUCAUCUUGUCACUUCCGACUGAAAUUGGAUUUUAUUUUCCUUCUUUUUUCCCCUUUUUUCCUUUUUCUUCUUCUUUCUCCUUACGCUGCGCUGGAAAUUGCUGGUGGCUUUACAUCUUCACAGAGCCUGAAGAGUCUCUUCUUGCAACCAGAGCGAUUUACAAUGCAAAUCGAGGCCUGCGAAGGGAUGGAUGCUUCUUCUCAGUCUUUAAACGCCUCGACGCACCUUAAUAUCUGGGGUUUAUUUUCUGGCAUUAAAUACGGACUGUUGGGUAUUGCUGCCGGAGGCCGAAAGGAAAAAAAAAUAAACGUUCGGAAUAAACUUUGAAGGCAACAGAUCUCUUUUGGAUGUUAUUAGCUGCACGUAUACGGCGGCACAUGAACCAGGUCACGACUUCGUACAAGGAUGAAUGUUGUAAAGGAGAAAUGGUACUCUUGGAGGACAGAGCACGCCUGUUUGUCAGAAAGAAUCUGGAUUCUAUCAAGGAAAAA